GAAGAACACGGAGGAUGAGAUUCUAAAGGCGGCGGUGAUGAAGUAUGGGAAGAAUCAGUGGGCUCGUAUUUCUUCUUUACUUGUUCGUAAAUCUGCUAAGCAGUGUAAAGCUCGCUGGUAUGAAUGGCUCGAUCCUUCAAUUAAGAAGACUGAAUGGACUAGAGAGGAGGAUGAAAAACUACUUCACCUUGCAAAACUCAUGCCUACCCAAUGGAGGACAAUUGCGCCAAUCGUUGGCCGUACACCAUCACAAUGCCUUGAACGUUAUGAGAAGCUUCUCGAUGCAGCAUGUACUAAGGAUGAGAACUAUGAUCCUAAUGAUGAUCCAAGAAAAUUGAAGCCCGGAGAGAUUGAUCCUAACCCGGAAUCAAAGCCUGCUCGUCCUGAUCCUGUUGAUAUGGAU
RNAcentral lists this unclassified non-coding RNA (403 nucleotides) under Hevea brasiliensis (rubber tree). Lineage: Eukaryota; Viridiplantae; Streptophyta; Magnoliopsida; Malpighiales; Euphorbiaceae. The record is from RNAcentral.